This 492-nucleotide ribosomal RNA is filed under the name uncultured bacterium. RNAcentral's name for it is "partial 16S ribosomal RNA". It matches the Rfam family "Bacterial small subunit ribosomal RNA", at positions 29 to 507 of the family's 1533-position model. The record is from RNAcentral.
AGUGAACGCUGGCGGUAGGCCUAACACAUGCAAGUCGAACGGAAGCACAGUAAGAGCUUGCUCUUACGGGUGGCGAGUGGCGGACGGGUGAGGAAUACAUCGGAAUCUACUUUUUCGUGGGGGAUAACGUAGGGAAACUUACGAUAAUACCGCAUACGACCUACGGGUGAAAGCAGGGGAUCUUCGGACCUUUCGCGAUUGAAUGAGCCGAUGUCGGAUUAGCUAGUUGGCGGGGUAAAGGCCCACCAAGGCGACGAUCCGUAGCUGAUCUGAGAGGAUGAUCGGCCACACUGGAACUGAGACACGGUCCAGACUCCUACGGGAGGCAGCAGUGGGGAAUAUUGGACAAUGGGCGCAAGCCUGAUCCAGCCAUACCGCGUGGGUGAAGAAGGCCUUCGGGUUGUAAAGCCCUUUUGUUGGGAAAGAAAAGCAGCAGGUUAAUACCCCGCUGUUCUGACGGUACCCAAAGAAUAAGCACCGGCUAACUUCGUG